This is a long non-coding RNA of Cyprinus carpio carpio, 675 nucleotides long. NCBI's taxonomy places the organism in Eukaryota, Metazoa, Chordata, Actinopteri, Cypriniformes, Cyprinidae. The record is from Ensembl.
GUCCGCUCACCUCUGAAAGCACUAACGGCGGCGCUUUUCCUCUGAAGCCCGAGCAAUUGGCAGCGUUUCUUUCUUUGCCGGGGCCUCCUGCCGCUCACGGCCAAAUAAAGCACAGCUUUAUAAAAGCUGGCGAAACAAAAUAGCAGAUUGCUCGGCGGCUAAAAGCUGCAUUUUCCUUUUCAGCCUGUUUCUCAUCAGUUCUUUUCAUAUUGCUGACUGACACAAAUCCUAUACGGCUACUUUUGUUUAAUGAAGGGCAUUAAUGAAGAGCUCUCCAGCUAAAUACAUCUUUAUUCUGCUAUUAGCGCAGCGCUUGAAGCAGGAGUUGAAGGAGGGCGUCUGAGAGCCUUCAGAGUCGAGGCAUUGAGAGGCACUUUCCCAUCAAUCAGGCCUUGUGUCCACUACAAUCACGUCAACUUACAGGAUGCAUCGUCUUCGUCCAGCGGCCGUCCCGCCGUGAGAAGAGCAUCGGGAGCAUCAGAGGUUCUGCUACGUCUGAUGUUUCCAUACGGCGACCGGACGAUCAGCUCAACAGCAGUGACUGAGAAAAACAGCAUGUCUCAGGUGAAAUCUGCAGCUGCUUCAUCAUCACGGAGGAGUGUGAACUCCAGCUGGAGACUCAGACUCGGGCUGAGGCGCUCAUAUCUCUGCCACUCUUCAAAUACGAGCUGCUGU